This 72-nucleotide transfer RNA is filed under the name Bos taurus (domestic cattle). It matches the Rfam family "tRNA". Rfam says of the family: Transfer RNA (tRNA) molecules are approximately 80 nucleotides in length. Their secondary structure includes four short double-helical elements and three loops (D, anti-codon, and T loops). Lineage: Eukaryota; Metazoa; Chordata; Mammalia; Artiodactyla; Bovidae. RNAcentral also lists the same sequence under 4 other names. The record is from Rfam by way of RNAcentral.
UCCCAGCUGGCUCAGUGGGAAAGAAUCUGCCUGCCAAUGCAGGAGACACAGGUUCGAUCCCUGGGUUGGGAA